RNAcentral lists this ribosomal RNA (526 nucleotides) under uncultured bacterium. RNAcentral describes it as "bacterial SSU rRNA". It matches the Rfam family "Bacterial small subunit ribosomal RNA", at positions 1 to 521 of the family's 1533-position model. The record is from RNAcentral.
UAGAGUUUGAUCAUGGCUCAGAUUGAACGCUGGCGGCAGGCCUAACACAUGCAAGUCGAGCGGUAGCACAGGAGAGCUUGCUCUCUGGGUGACGAGCGGCGGACGGGUGAGUAAUGUCUGGGAAACUGCCCGAUGGAGGGGGAUAACUACUGGAAACGGUAGCUAAUACCGCAUAACGUCUUCGGACCAAAGAGGGGGACCUUCGGGCCUCUUGCCAUCGGAUGUGCCCAGAUGGGAUUAGCUAGUAGGUGGGGUAAUGGCUCACCUAGGCGACGAUCCCUAGCUGGUCUGAGAGGAUGACCAGCCACACUGGAACUGAGACACGGUCCAGACUCCUACGGGAGGCAGCAGUGGGGAAUAUUGCACAAUGGGCGCAAGCCUGAUGCAGCCAUGCCGCGUGUAUGAAGAAGGCCUUCGGGUUGUAAAGUACUUUCAGCGAGGAGGAAGGCGUUGUGGUUAAUAACCGCGGCGAUUGACGUUACUCGCAAGAAGAAGCACCGGCUAACUCCGUGCCAGCAGCCGCGGU